Molecule: ribosomal RNA, 134 nt
Filed under: uncultured bacterium
Lineage: Bacteria
Description: partial 16S ribosomal RNA
Rfam family: Bacterial small subunit ribosomal RNA
Source: RNAcentral
GGGGGAUAUUGGACAAUGGGGGAAACCCUGAUCCAGCGACGCCGCGUGAGUGAAGAAGUAUUUCGGUAUGUAAAGCUCUGUCAGCAGGGAAGAAAGAAAUGACGGUACCUGACCAAGAAGCCCCGGCUAACUAC